RNAcentral lists this ribosomal RNA (262 nucleotides) under uncultured bacterium. RNAcentral's name for it is "partial 16S ribosomal RNA". It matches the Rfam family "Bacterial small subunit ribosomal RNA", at positions 77 to 339 of the family's 1533-position model. The record is from RNAcentral.
CGUGUUGGAUAUGACUUAGUGGCGGACGGGCGAGUAACGCGUGAGCAACCUGCCUUUCAGUGGGGGACAACAGUUGGAAACGACUGCUAAUACCGCAUAAUGCAUUUUGACCGCAUGAUCGAGAUGCCAAAGAUUUAUUGCUGAAAGAUGGGGAUGCGUCUGAUUAGCUUGUUGGUGGGGUAACGGCCCACCAAGGCGACGAUCAGUAGCCGGCCUGAGAGGGUGAACGGCCACAUUGGGACUGAGACACGGCCCAGACUCC